Ochotona curzoniae (black-lipped pika) is the source of this 107-nucleotide small nuclear RNA. NCBI's taxonomy places the organism in Eukaryota, Metazoa, Chordata, Mammalia, Lagomorpha, Ochotonidae. The record is from RefSeq and is a predicted model, not a curated record.
GUGCUCGCUUCAGCAGAACAUAUAGUAAAAUUGGAACGCUACAAAGAAAAUCAGCAUGACCCUUGCGCAAGGAUGACUCACAAAUUUGUGAAGCAUUCCAUAUUUUU